GUACCGCAAGCCAAGCUGUCGACGGCACUAAAUCCAGGACUAAUCCCGAGCCCUGCGCCCCGCGUACGAACCCCAUCUACCAUUACAUCCUCUCUUGAUAUAUGAGAGAGAGAGCGAGCUCUCUUGUUAAGGAUAUAAGAUUUAGGGCUGGCAACGGGCCGGGGUAUCAGACGCGGCCCUAACUGGACACAAGCCCAACCCCAUCUUUAUUAGGGCCGGCCCGGCGG
Molecule: long non-coding RNA, 227 nt
Filed under: Amborella trichopoda
Lineage: Eukaryota; Viridiplantae; Streptophyta; Magnoliopsida; Amborellales; Amborellaceae
Description: long non-coding RNA (ATRI_LNC001721)
Source: RNAcentral